Molecule: ribosomal RNA, 620 nt
Filed under: uncultured Anaplasma sp.
Lineage: Bacteria; Pseudomonadati; Pseudomonadota; Alphaproteobacteria; Rickettsiales; Anaplasmataceae
Description: bacterial SSU rRNA
Rfam family: Bacterial small subunit ribosomal RNA
Source: RNAcentral
GGCUCAGAACGAACGCUGGCGGCAAGCUUAACACAUGCAAGUCGAACGGAUUAUCUUUUAUAGCUUGCUAUAAAAGAUAAUUAGUGGCAGACGGGUGAGUAAUGCAUAGGAAUCUACCUAGUAGUAUGGGAUAGCCACUAGAAAUGGUGGGUAAUACUGUAUAAUCCCUGCGGGGGAAAGAUUUAUCGCUAUUAGAUGAGCCUAUGUUAGAUUAGCUAGUUGGUAGGGUAAAGGCCUACCAAGGCGAUGAUCUAUAGCUGGUCUGAGAGGAUGAUCAGCCACACUGGAACUGAGAUACGGUCCAGACUCCUACGGGAGGCAGCAGUGGGGAAUAUUGGACAAUGGGCGCAAGCCUGAUCCAGCUAUGCCGCGUGAGUGAGGAAGGCCUUAGGGUUGUAAAACUCUUUCAGUAGGGAAGAUAAUGACGGUACCUACAGAAGAAGUCCCGGCAAACUCCGUGCCAGCAGCCGCGGUAAUACGGAGGGGGCAAGCGUUGUUCGGAAUUAUUGGGCGUAAAGGGCAUGUAGGCGGUUCGGUAAGUUAAAGGUGAAAUGCCAGGGCUUAACCCUGGAGCUGCUUUUAAUACUGCCAGACUAGAGUCCGGGAGAGGAUAGCGGAAU